RNAcentral lists this ribosomal RNA (594 nucleotides) under Triticum aestivum (bread wheat). RNAcentral's name for it is "partial small subunit ribosomal RNA". Lineage: Eukaryota; Viridiplantae; Streptophyta; Magnoliopsida; Poales; Poaceae. The record is from RNAcentral.
AUGACAAAACUAACGGAUUCCUACAUGCAGAGAGCGAAAAAACAGUCAAUCAAAGAUGGAGACAGGAACACUUUCUUCUUCCAUUGUGCUAUCAUCAAAAGAAGAAGAAGGAAGACCACUGCUUCAGUCAAAGAUGAAAAUGAUGUUAUACAGCACAUGCCAGACAAAAUCAGUAAUACAUUUGUGAAUUAUUUCAGAUCUAUUGGCAGGCCCUUCUUCAAUGUUCAAUUUCCCCAACAGACACAAGACUACACAUAUUCUAUUCCAGAUGAAGAGGAGAUUUUGGACACUCUCAAGGGUAUGAAAAGAAACGCAUCGCCAGUGCCUGAUGGAUUUAAUGUAGAAUUCUACAUUGCAACCUAGGUGUGGAUCGGGCAAGAUGUCGUGCGGCUGGUAAGGAAUUUCUUCCAAACAGGUAUAAUGCCAGCACAUAUAAAUGAUACCCACAUUGUUCUGAUUCCUAAAAAGCUUGUUCCUUUAGUGCCGGCAGAUUAUAGGCCCAUUAGUCUUUGCAAUGUCAUCUACAAAAUUAUUGCAAACUGCCUUGCCAAUAGACUGAAACCUCACUUGCCGGACUAUGUUCAUCCUUCUUAG